Molecule: ribosomal RNA, 232 nt
Filed under: uncultured bacterium
Lineage: Bacteria
Description: partial 16S ribosomal RNA
Rfam family: Bacterial small subunit ribosomal RNA
Source: RNAcentral
CGGACGGGUGAGUAAUGCUUGGGAAUCUAGCUUAUGAGGGGGGAUAACUACGGGAAACUGUAGCUAAUACCGCGUAAUAUCGGAAGAUUAAAGUGUGGGACCUUCGGGCCACAUGCCAUAGGAUGAGCCCAAGUGGGAUUAGGUAGUUGGUGAGGUAAAGGCUCACCAAGCCGACGAUCUCUAGCUGGUCUGAGAGGAUGACCAGCCACACUGGGACUGAGACACGGCCCAG